AAUACAUGCAAGUCGAGCGAACGGACGAGAAGCUUGCUUCUCUGAUGUUAGCGGCGGACGGGUGAGUAACACGUGGAUAACCUACCUAUAAGACUGGGAUAACUUCGGGAAACCGGAGCUAAUACCGGAUGAUAUUUUGAACCGCAUGGUUCAAAAGUGAAAGACGGUCUUGCUGUCACUUAUAGAUGGAUCCGCGCUGCAUUAGCUAGUUGGUAAGGUAACGGCUUACCAAGGCAACGAUGCAUAGCCGACCUGAGAGGG
This 261-nucleotide ribosomal RNA is filed under the name Staphylococcus aureus. Its description in RNAcentral is "partial 16S ribosomal RNA". It matches the Rfam family "Bacterial small subunit ribosomal RNA", at positions 50 to 300 of the family's 1533-position model. The record is from RNAcentral. Lineage: Bacteria; Bacillati; Bacillota; Bacilli; Caryophanales; Staphylococcaceae.